AGUGAACGCUGGCGGUAGGCCUAACACAUGCCAGUCGAACGGCAGCACAGUAAGAGCUUGCUCUUACGGGUGGCGAGUGGCGGACGGGUGAGGAAUACAUCGGAAUCUACUUUUUCGUGGGGGAUAACGUAGGGAAACUUACGCUAAUACCGCAUACGACCUACGGGUGAAAGCAGGGGAUCUUCGGACCUUGCGCGAUUGAACGAGCCGAUGUCGGAUUAGCUAGUUGGCGGGGUAAAGGCCCACCAAGGCGACGAUCCGUAGCUGGUCUGAGAGGAUGAUCAGCCACACUGGAACUGAGACACGGUCCAGACUCCUACGGGAGGCAGCAGUGGGGAAUAUUGGACAAUGGGCGCAAGCCUGAUCCAGCCAUACCGCGUGGGUGAAGAAGGCCUUCGGGUUGUAAAGCCCUUUUGUUGGGAAAGAAAAGCAGCAGGUUAAUACCCCGCUGUUCUGACGGUACCCAAAGAAUAAGCACCGGCUAACUUCGUG
This 492-nucleotide ribosomal RNA is filed under the name uncultured bacterium. RNAcentral describes it as "partial 16S ribosomal RNA". It matches the Rfam family "Bacterial small subunit ribosomal RNA", at positions 29 to 507 of the family's 1533-position model. The record is from RNAcentral.